GGAUGUGAGGGUGAUCUGGCUGCGACAUCUGUCACCCCAUUGAUCGCCAGGGUUGAUUUGGCUGAUCUGGCUGGCUAGGCGGGUGUCCCGUUCCUCCCUCACCGCUCCAUGUGCGUCCCUCCCGAAGCUGCACGCUCGGUCGAAGACGACCAUCCCCGAUAGAGGAGGACCGUUCUUCGGUCAAGGGUAUACGAGUAGCUGCGCUCCCCUGCUAGAACCUCCAAACAAGCUCUCAAGGUCCUUAUACCCUUCACCUACUUUCCUCCAGUGGUAGCCACUUACAAAACUAUGGUUUACUGUCACAUUGAGGAUAUUGACUCUGAUCCAGAUGACUUCUCUCACUCAGAUUUCCUCAGUUUU
RNAcentral lists this small nuclear RNA (360 nucleotides) under Vulpes vulpes (red fox). Its description in RNAcentral is "7SK RNA (ENSVVUG00000008532.1)". It matches the Rfam family "7SK RNA", at positions 1 to 251 of the family's 331-position model. Rfam says of the family: 7SK was discovered as an abundant small nuclear RNA in the mid-70s but a possible function has only recently been suggested. Two independent studies have found that 7SK RNA binds the CDK9/cyclin T complex (known as elongation factor P-TEFb). P-TEFb activates transcription by phosphorylating the C-terminal domain of RNA polymerase II. The record is from RNAcentral. Lineage: Eukaryota; Metazoa; Chordata; Mammalia; Carnivora; Canidae.